This 443-nucleotide ribosomal RNA is filed under the name uncultured Bacteroides sp. RNAcentral describes it as "bacterial SSU rRNA". It matches the Rfam family "Bacterial small subunit ribosomal RNA", at positions 28 to 462 of the family's 1533-position model. The record is from RNAcentral. Lineage: Bacteria; Pseudomonadati; Bacteroidota; Bacteroidia; Bacteroidales; Bacteroidaceae.
GAUGAACGCUAGCUACAGGCUUAACACAUGCAAGUCGAGGGGCAUCAGGAAGAAAGCUUGCUUUCUUUGCUGGCGACCGGCGCACGGGUGAGUAACACGUAUCCAACCUGCCCUUUACUCGGGGAUAGCCUUUCGAAAGAAAGAUUAAUACCCGAUGGCAUAAUGAUUCCGCAUGGUUUCAUUAUUAAAGGAUUCCGGUAAAGGAUGGGGAUGCGUUCCAUUAGGUUGUUGGUGAGGUAACGGCUCACCAAGCCUUCGAUGGAUAGGGGUUCUGAGAGGAAGGUCCCCCACAUUGGAACUGAGACACGGUCCAAACUCCUACGGGAGGCAGCAGUGAGGAAUAUUGGUCAAUGGGCGCUAGCCUGAACCAGCCAAGUAGCGUGAAGGAUGAAGGCUCUAUGGGUCGUAAACUUCUUUUAUAUAAGAAUAAAGUGCAGUAUGUA